Molecule: long non-coding RNA, 2557 nt
Filed under: Homo sapiens (human)
Lineage: Eukaryota; Metazoa; Chordata; Mammalia; Primates; Hominidae
Description: PREDICTED lncRNA (TCONS_00159016)
Source: RNAcentral
CUCUGCUGUUUGUGGGGCGUGCUAGAAACGUGGUCCUAAAAAGAAUGGCGUCCAUUUACAUAAUGCUUUGUUUGCGUUUCGCAAGUUUCUUUCGGUUAAAGCCACAGAAACCCCACCUCCUGCCCUUGUGUCGUUUCCACCGCGGCACCCUUUUCCGACAUUAGAAACAAUAGUGUACGCCUGUGGAGGCCUCGUUUGUUCAGGGGCUGCCGGCCAGGGCUUCAGGACGUUUCUGCGGCUUUCCCCGCGCGGCCUGGGCUCCCGCGGCUGCUUUUCGGGCCCAUGGGCGCAGCCACUGCGCCAGGCUCAAGGGGGGCGGCCCCGUCAGGGCCCGCCAUCUUGGAAGGCCUUUUUUGCCGGUUCUUCCCGCUGAGGAAGUGUCGCUCAAGACGCUGGCCUAUGAGUUGUGAUUUCUGCCUUUUCCCCUUCCUCCUUGGGCUAAGCCAGACCAGAAAGGGCCCCGUGCGCAACGUGCUUCACAAUCUCUCAGGGAAAGCGGCUAACGUGGCGCUACUCCGCCUCCCCUGUUCCUUACCCUUGGGGCGGCCGCCAUGUUUCCUGAACACAAAAUGGCGACACGUGGUUAGCAUUCGUCGCCAACGAGAAAUUGGGGUCGGCCCGAAAGCUCUAGAAUGCACCCCUCUUCCUCCCCGGGGCCUUCCACCUCCGCGAGUUUUAUGACUUAAAAAAGCCCACAGGCUGGUCUGAAGGUCGGAGGCCUAAUUUUAACGCGUUUUCCUCCCUUUAAUUUGAAACGGGAACGCGAAUGACUGUAAAAUGUGGGCACAAUAUUUAAUCUCUCGCCUUUUUAAAGCUUAAUAGUGGAUAAUAGGGGGGCAGUAUCAAGGGAUAAUUUGGGUCCCCACAGUACCAAAGCAUUUAGAAACCUCUGUUUAAUUUAAGGAAUGAGAUAAGUUACUGCUUUUCUAGACUUCCUAGCAUGGGCUGUUGUGCUGGAGAGAACGAGAGCUACGAAGAGACUACAGUGCCUCUGACUUUUUCAUAGGACAGUUGGCCGAGGAAGACAAACAUAAAGAUGAAGUGCUUAAUUCAAGGUCACACAAUGUCGGGGAUGGACCUCCAGAUUUCCUUACUGACCUGCAUUAUCUUGUGGAUACCUGAGUGAAUUCCACACCACCCAUUUUAUAGAUGAAACCACUGAGACAUGGAGCAAUUGACUGAGUAGUCACUGCCCCACCCCUGCCUGGAGCCUCACACAUGACUCGCCUCCUCUCAGUGACCACAGGUGAGACGUGGUCUUGUAACACAGUGGUUAAGAAUGUGACUUUGGAGCCAGCCUGCUAGGGGCUGAAUUCUGACUCAGCCAUUUACUAACUGUGUGACCUUAGGCUGGAGUGCAAUGGCAUGAUCUCGGCUCAUCACAACCUCUGCUUCCUGGGUUCAAGCGAUUCUCCUGCCUCAGCCUCCCGAGUACCUGGGACUACAGGCACUCGCCACCAUGCCCGGCUGAUUUUUGUAUUUUUAAUAGAGAUGGUUUCACUAUGUUGGCCAGGCUGGUCUCGAACUCCUGACCUUGUGAUCUGCCCACCUCAGCCUCGAAAAGUGCUGGGAUUACAGGCGUGAGCCACUGCGCCCAGCCUUGUAUUUUUUUUCAGUUUGGGUAGCUGUCCCUAAUUCAUUUGUUAAAGGAGAAGCAAGAGCAAGAACCUUUAAUCUGUUCUCCUCUUCCCUAAUUUGAAAGUAGCUUGUUAUUUUGAAUAUCACUUUCUCUGAAAUAGCACAUCUCCAUCUCAGAGAAUGGAUUUAAUGUUUGGAUACAGCCAAAAGUCAUUUCAUUACCAAACCAUGGGGUGAAUAUACCAUGUAAAGCAGUUUGGGAUCAGAACUCACAGUCUGAAUUGUAAGUGAUGAGACUGCUGUCUCUCUGCUACAGCUUCUUGGCUGGCUCUGAAGGCUCUUUGAAGGCAGAUCCUAACAAGGGGACUGCUUUGAAGGGCCAUUGUUCAUUUGGAAUGAUAAAGUCUAUGUUGUUCAAAAAACAAAUGCUUGUAGCAGGUAUUUUUUCACUCCAGACUGAGAAUAUUGGUGGGAUAUUGAUAAGGGGUACUGAAUGGUAAUAAACAUGUGCUCUAGCUCUGUGCUAGUCAGCUUAUUUCAGAACUCUAGUUUGAUUCAGUUUCUUGCCUCUGACUCAAAAUGGAGGGAGAGUGAUUUUUACAUAAGAGAACACACCCACAUAUCCUUUUGGCAGCAGCUACCUGCCAGAGAUGUUGAAGAAGAGUAGCCAACCUUUACACAGCAGAUAUUGUGUGCCAGUCAUAGUCCUAAGUAUAAUACCUUACAUGUAUAAACUUCUUAUAAGGUUGGUGCUCUGUACCGAAUUGAAUAGUAUCCCCCAAAAUUCAUGUUGUCCCAGAACCUAUGAAAGUGAUCUUACUUGAGGGAGGGGGGAGGGGGGAGGGAUAGCAUUAGGAGAUAUACCUAAUGCUAAAUGACGAGUUAAUGGGUGUAGCACACCAGCAUGGCACAUGUAUACAUAUGUAACUAACCUGCACAUUGUGCACAUGUACCCUAAAACUUAAAGUAUAAUAAUAAU